Molecule: ribosomal RNA, 253 nt
Filed under: uncultured bacterium
Lineage: Bacteria
Description: partial 16S ribosomal RNA
Rfam family: Bacterial small subunit ribosomal RNA
Source: RNAcentral
UACAGAGGUCUCAAGCGUUGUUCGGAAUCAUUGGGCGUAAAGGGUGCGUAGGCGGCCAACUAAGUCAGACGUGAAAUCCCUCGGCUUAACCGGGGAACUGCGUCUGAUACUGGAUGGCUUGAAUCCGGGAGAGGGAUGCGGAAUUCCAGGUGUAGCGGUGAAAUGCGUAGAUAUCUGGAGGAACACCGGUGGCGAAGGCGGCAUCCUGGACCGGUAUUGACGCUGAGGCGCGAAAGCCAGGGGAGCAAACGGG